RNAcentral lists this ribosomal RNA (500 nucleotides) under uncultured Lachnospiraceae bacterium. RNAcentral's name for it is "bacterial SSU rRNA". It matches the Rfam family "Bacterial small subunit ribosomal RNA", at positions 10 to 507 of the family's 1533-position model. Lineage: Bacteria; Bacillati; Bacillota; Clostridia; Lachnospirales; Lachnospiraceae. The record is from RNAcentral.
AGUUUCGAUCCUGCUCAGGAUGAACGCUGGCGGCGUGCUUAACUACAUGGCAAGUUCGAACGAAGGUCGAUUUUAGCGGAAGUUUUCGGAUGAAGCUAGAUUGACUGAGUGGCGGACGGGUGAGUAACGCGUGGUAACCUGCCUCAUACAGGGGGAUAACAGUUAGAAAUGACUGCUAAUACCGCAUAAGCGCACGAGGAUGCAUGUUCUUGUGUGAAAAACUCCGGUGGUAUGAGAUGGACCCGCGUCUGAUUAGCUAGUUGAGGGGUAACGGCCCACCAAGGCGACGAUCAGUAGCCGACCUGAGAGGGUGACCGGCCACAUUGGGACUGAGACACGGCCCAAACUCCUACGGGAGGCAGCAGUGGGGAAUAUUGCACAAUGGGGGAAACCCUGAUGCAGCAACGCCGCAUGAGUGAAGAAGUAUUUCGGUAUGUAAAGCUCUACCAGCAGGGAAGAAGAUGACGGUACCUGAGUAAGAAGCCCCGGCUAACUACGUG